Molecule: long non-coding RNA, 227 nt
Organism: Eurytemora carolleeae
Lineage: Eukaryota; Metazoa; Arthropoda; Copepoda; Calanoida; Temoridae
Exons: 4
Source: RefSeq, a predicted model, not a curated record
AACCAGACACUCCCUUUACAGCAGGUUCGACCGCUGACUACAACCUUGUUGCGCCGAUCCGUCAGACUGCCUCGAUUUUCAAGCAACCAGUCACACUCUACAAGGAUCAUAAAUCUAAGGUUAAAUCUGACUUGAAGACGGUUAAUAAGGAGAAGCCAAGCCAAUUGUUUUGGGCUAAAAGGUUAGGGAACUUGGACCCUGGACAGCUGGAGGAAAACAACCAGGGA